Molecule: ribosomal RNA, 497 nt
Filed under: uncultured bacterium
Lineage: Bacteria
Description: partial 16S ribosomal RNA
Rfam family: Bacterial small subunit ribosomal RNA
Source: RNAcentral
GACGAACGCUGGCGGCGUGCCUAAUACAUGCAAGUUGAGCGCUGAAGGUUGGUACUUGUACCCACUGGAUGAGCAGCGAACGGGUGAGUAACGCGUGGGGAAUCUGCCUUUGAGCGGGGGACAACAUUUGGAAACGAAUGCUAAUACCGCAUAAAAACUUUAAACACAAGUUUUAAGUUUGAAAGAUGCAAUUGCAUCACUCAAAGAUGAUCCCGCGUUGUAUUAGCUAGUUGGUGAGGUAAAGGCUCACCAAGGCGAUGAUACAUAGCCGACCUGAGAGGGUGAUCCGCCACAUUGGGACUGGGACACGGCCCAAACUCCUACGGGAGGCAGCAGGAGGGAAUCUUCGGAAAUGGACGAAAGGCUGACCGAGCAACGCCGCGUGAGUGAAGAAGGGUUUCGGAUCGUAAAACUCGGUUGGUAGAGAAGAACGUUGGUGAGAGUGGAAAGCUCAUCAAGUGACGGUAACUACCCAGAAAGGGACGGCUAACUACGUG